ACUUAAAUUGAAGAGUUUGAUCAUGGCUCAGAUUGAACGCUGGCGGCAGGCCUAACACAUGCAAGUCGAGCGGUAGCACAGAGAGCUUGCUCUCGGGUGACGAGCGGCGGACGGGUGAGUAAUGUC
This 126-nucleotide ribosomal RNA is filed under the name Klebsiella pneumoniae. Its description in RNAcentral is "partial 16S ribosomal RNA". It matches the Rfam family "Bacterial small subunit ribosomal RNA", at positions 1 to 117 of the family's 1533-position model. The record is from RNAcentral. Lineage: Bacteria; Pseudomonadati; Pseudomonadota; Gammaproteobacteria; Enterobacterales; Enterobacteriaceae. RNAcentral also lists the same sequence under 1 other name.